RNAcentral lists this ribosomal RNA (1489 nucleotides) under Lactiplantibacillus pentosus. RNAcentral describes it as "bacterial SSU rRNA". It matches the Rfam family "Bacterial small subunit ribosomal RNA". Lineage: Bacteria; Bacillati; Bacillota; Bacilli; Lactobacillales; Lactobacillaceae. The record is from RNAcentral.
GACGAACGCUGGCGGCGUGCCUAAUACAUGCAAGUCGAACGAACUCUGGUAUUGAUUGGUGCUUGCAUCAUGAUUUACAUUUGAGUGAGUGGCGAACUGGUGAGUAACACGUGGGAAACCUGCCCAGAAGCGGGGGAUAACACCUGGAAACAGGUGCUAAUACCGCAUAACAACUUGGACCGCAUGGUCCGAGUUUGAAAGAUGGCUUCGGCUAUCACUUUUGGAUGGUCCCGCGGCGUAUUAGCUAGAUGGUGGGGUAACGGCUCACCAUGGCAACGAUACGUAGCCGACCUGAGAGGGUAAUCGGCCACAUUGGGACUGAGACACGGCCCAAACUCCUACGGGAGGCAGCAGUAGGGAAUCUUCCACAAUGGACGAAAGUCUGAUGGAGCAACGCCGCGUGAGUGAAGAAGGGUUUCGGCUCGUAAAACUCUGUUGUUAAAGAAGAACAUAUCUGAGAGUAACUGUUCAGGUAUUGACGGUAUUUAACCAGAAAGCCACGGCUAACUACGUGCCAGCAGCCGCGGUAAUACGUAGGUGGCAAGCGUUGUCCGGAUUUAUUGGGCGUAAAGCGAGCGCAGGCGGUUUUUUAAGUCUGAUGUGAAAGCCUUCGGCUCAACCGAAGAAGUGCAUCGGAAACUGGGAAACUUGAGUGCAGAAGAGGACAGUGGAACUCCAUGUGUAGCGGUGAAAUGCGUAGAUAUAUGGAAGAACACCAGUGGCGAAGGCGGCUGUCUGGUCUGUAACUGACGCUGAGGCUCGAAAGUAUGGGUAGCAAACAGGAUUAGAUACCCUGGUAGUCCAUACCGUAAACGAUGAAUGCUAAGUGUUGGAGGGUUUCCGCCCUUCAGUGCUGCAGCUAACGCAUUAAGCAUUCCGCCUGGGGAGUACGGCCGCAAGGCUGAAACUCAAAGGAAUUGACGGGGGCCCGCACAAGCGGUGGAGCAUGUGGUUUAAUUCGAAGCUACGCGAAGAACCUUACCAGGUCUUGACAUACUAUGCAAAUCUAAGAGAUUAGACGUUCCCUUCGGGGACAUGGAUACAGGUGGUGCAUGGUUGUCGUCAGCUCGUGUCGUGAGAUGUUGGGUUAAGUCCCGCAACGAGCGCAACCCUUAUUAUCAGUUGCCAGCAUUAAGUUGGGCACUCUGGUGAGACUGCCGGUGACAAACCGGAGGAAGGUGGGGAUGACGUCAAAUCAUCAUGCCCCUUAUGACCUGGGCUACACACGUGCUACAAUGGAUGGUACAACGAGUUGCGAACUCGCGAGAGUAAGCUAAUCUCUUAAAGCCAUUCUCAGUUCGGAUUGUAGGCUGCAACUCGCCUACAUGAAGUCGGAAUCGCUAGUAAUCGCGGAUCAGCAUGCCGCGGUGAAUACGUUCCCGGGCCUUGUACACACCGCCCGUCACACCAUGAGAGUUUGUAACACCCAAAGUCGGUGGGGUAACCUUUUAGGAACCAGCCGCCUAAGGUGGGACAGAUGAUUAGGGUG